This 456-nucleotide ribosomal RNA is filed under the name uncultured bacterium. Its description in RNAcentral is "bacterial SSU rRNA". It matches the Rfam family "Bacterial small subunit ribosomal RNA", at positions 340 to 786 of the family's 1533-position model. The record is from RNAcentral.
UACGGGAGGCAGCAGUGGGGAAUAUUGGACAAUGGGCGAAAGCCUGAUCCAGCCAUGCCGCGUGUGUGAAGAAGGUCUUCGGAUUGUAAAGCACUUUAAGUGGGAGGAAGGGCAGUAAUUAAUACUUUGCUGUUUUGACGUUACCGACAGAAUAAGCACCGGCUAACUCUGUGCCAGCAGCCGCGGUAAUACAGAGGGUGCAAGCGUUAAUCGGAAUUACUGGGCGUAAAGCGCGCGUAGGUGGUUCGUUAAGUUGGAUGUGAAAUCCCCGGGCUCAACCUGGGAACUGCAUUCAAAACUGACGAGCUAGAGUAUGGUAGAGGGUGGUGGAAUUUUCCUGUGUAGCGGUGAAAUGCGUAGAUAUAGGAAGGAACACCAGUGGCGAAGGCGACCACCUGGGACUGGAUACUGACACUGAGGUGCGAAAGCGUGGGGAGCAAACAGGGAUUAGAUACC